UACGGAGGAUCCGAGCGUUAUCCGGAUUUAUUGGGUUUAAAGGGUGCGUAGGCGGUUUGAUAAGUUAGAGGUGAAAUGUCGGGGCUCAACCCCGAAACUGCCUCUAAUACUGUUGGACUAGAGAAUGGUUGCGGUAGGCGGAAUGUAUGGUGUAGCGGUGAAAUGCUUAGAGAUCAUACAGAACACCGAUUGCGAAGGCAGCUUACCAAACUAUAUCUGACGUUGAGGCACGAAAGCGUGGGUAGCAAACAGG
This 253-nucleotide ribosomal RNA is filed under the name uncultured bacterium. RNAcentral describes it as "partial 16S ribosomal RNA". It matches the Rfam family "Bacterial small subunit ribosomal RNA", at positions 524 to 776 of the family's 1533-position model. The record is from RNAcentral.